RNAcentral lists this long non-coding RNA (1641 nucleotides) under Homo sapiens (human). RNAcentral describes it as "non-protein coding lnc-HLA-B-2:4". Lineage: Eukaryota; Metazoa; Chordata; Mammalia; Primates; Hominidae. The record is from RNAcentral.
CGAGCACAGAGGCGACUUCCCUCUCUCAGACUUUAGGCGCCACUGCAGGGUCCGGAAAAGAAAGAGAAACGGCCCAGCGCGGUCGCUUACAUAACCCAGGGCGGGGCUCCGCUCCGCCCCCGAAAGUUUUUGCGACGGAGUUUUCCCUCUUGUUGCCCAGGCUGAAGUGCAAUGGCGCGAUCUCGGCUCACCGCAACCUCCGCCUCCAAGGUUUAAGCGAUUCUCCUGCCUCAGCCUCCCGACUAGCUGGGAUUACAGGCAUUCACCACCAAGCCCGUCUAAUUUUAUAUUUUUAGUAGAGACGGGAUUUCCCCAUGUUGGUCAGGUUGGUCUCGAGCUCCCGACCUCAGGUGAUCGCCCGCCUCGACCUCCCAAAGUGCUGGGAUUACAGGCGUGAACCACCGUGCCCGGCCUUGGCCGCAUGUGUUUUGAAUUUUGCUGCCCGGAAUUCACUGCGAGGACUGGGAUCACCCGUCACCCCGCCCUGGUCUACGGAAAAUGAAAUGUGUUUACUGAUAUAGAAACGGAAUAACGGCGCUGUGGGCUGGGGAGGGCCGAGCUGCCUUCAGGCUUCUGGUCUCCAGCUGCAGGGCACUCACACCUGCCCGUUAUGAAAAUGCAGACCCGCAGGGCAGGAAUUCCGAGUCCGGGCUGGAGCGUGAUCUGGAAUCCGGCUCUCUUGAAACAGCACCGCGGAGGAUUCGGAUCCGGGAGCUGGGACAGUUAUAUUCAUCAGAACAGCACGGUGUCAAGGCCCUCACCCCCAGAAAGCUUAGGAGACACUGUUUUAUGGAGGAGAGUGAGAUUGGAGGAAGCCCUGACUCCAGGUCUCCUGAUCCUUCCUACACAAAGCGAAGCUGAAAAAAAGUGCAGGACACUCCAUUUCCUCCUGGGACCAGACAGGGAAGCCAGAGCCACCAUGGAUGUCAAAUUCCGGCAAGGAAACACCAGUAUAGCAAAAUCUCCACAUCACAUUUUAAAGCUCACACAAUGGCUCAAAGAGAACCCACAUCAAAAAACCGAAUUCCUAGCUCAGGUGAGAUCACCAAAGUUGCCUGUGAGGCUUCGUGGAACCUGCAGGUAGAAAGGACAUCUUUAUUUCGAGCUGCAGCCCAGUUGCUUCUGCGUCUUGGAGCCCCUUGAAAGGACCCUCUCCCUUCAACAGUACAUAGGGAGGCCAUUUCUGGGGAGAAAUGUAGACUGUCCUUAGACUCCUGAGGUUUUUACACUUGCUUGCUGACUCUGUGGACUUUGACUUCAUCAUUAAACAUCUUAUAAUGAUGUAAUUUGCUUUGACUGUAAGUGUAGAACAGGACGCUGUUCCUGAAUCAGGAAACAAGGGACUGGUGACCUGAACUGCCACCACCCUCCCUGGUGCUCAGAUGCAAUGAAAUCGUGAGGCAACAAAUCUAUGGCUAGGUAAAGGGUCAACUCCAUUUCAGCAAAUGUUUCAGAUGUUCCUUCCUGCCUAGUAAUGUUCCAGCUUUACCCCAGCCUUAAUCUUUUAAAAUGUAUAUUUUCCUUAGCGUUGAUUUUAAAGUAAUUCGUAUGUAUUUAUUACACUGGGUUUGUUGCAGUAAGCCACCUCGAAUGUUGCUGUAGAAUUAAAGUAAGCAAAUAAAUGUGUGGUUCUCCAAGGAG